GGAAAACUGGCUGUGCAGAGAUCAUAUGGAUGCAGCAGGAAGAUGUUGUCUAUGACGUCAGAGCCCUCACCAGACACUUAAUUUGAUGGCAACUUGAUCUUGGACUUCUCAGUCUCCAGAACUUGAUAAGAAGGAGAUUACUGCUGCCCACGGGGAAAAAGGAGAACAGAAAUGGGAAAGCCGUAUUGAGAGGAUGUUUGAGAACUGUGAAAGACAGAAAGCAG
RNAcentral lists this long non-coding RNA (224 nucleotides) under Homo sapiens (human). RNAcentral's name for it is "non-protein coding lnc-NTRK3-2:1". Lineage: Eukaryota; Metazoa; Chordata; Mammalia; Primates; Hominidae. The record is from RNAcentral.